This 6922-nucleotide long non-coding RNA is filed under the name Eucalyptus grandis. Its description in RNAcentral is "long non-coding RNA (EGRA_LNC005542)". The record is from RNAcentral. Lineage: Eukaryota; Viridiplantae; Streptophyta; Magnoliopsida; Myrtales; Myrtaceae.
UCAUGGCAGCAGAUGGAGCUUUCUCACAGCAAAAGAUUGGCUCAAAGAUUAUUUUGGCAUGUUGCCUGAUACUCCACCUUUCUGAAAGAAAUUUUAUAGAUAAGCCUACUGAAAACCAUCGUGGAAACUCCUCAAGAGGAGUGAAGUUAAUGUACUUUUUCUAUCUUAGCUUUAGUGAGGGGUAGUCCCAAUUUGUUCUUUAGACAUGGCAUUUUUUGUAUUGCUGUCAUUUUAAUAUAGCUGAAUUUCCUCCUUACCAAAAAAAUAUAGCUGAAGUUCUUAGUUCCCUUUUUGUUACCUAUUAUGUGUUUGUCUCCACUUGUCUUUUAUUAGCUGUCCCUUUCCCAUUUUGGUUGCAUGGCCGAUUUACGAGAGGAUGAACUGUUGCAAUAUGGAUUAGCUUCGAAAUCCUCAUGAUUUCUGUAUUCAAUCACUAUUAUUGAGUUUGUCUUGGUGCUUUAAGGAGGAUGAUUAUCAGUACUUGCAGGUUCAUUGAGCGAGGAUUCCAUAACAUUUAUUGGUAAUGGUGUUGUUUUAGACGAUGACCUUCUGCUGGAAGCUAAGAUUGUUUCUGCUCAUGGGUAGACAAUGAAAGUGUCAGCCUUUGCCAGCUCAGAGUCCCUCUCUUGUUUGCCUUUCAUGAGUUCACAUUACAUAUACUGUCAGCGAUGAUUUGUUCUAAUUUAAGAUGGGAGGGGUUACAAUAAAGCUGAUUUAACGAUGCCUGUGGAUUUGUUAGGAGGUUUGGAGUUUUGUUCUAAUGGCAUGAGGCUUUUAGGAAUUGUUAGAACAAAUCAAUUUGGAUACAGACCGUUAGGACAUUCCGGCAGGACUCGCAUCUCAGCCAAAACUGAUACUUGUACAAACUGCAUACUUGUUGCUUGCCCUUCUGUAGAGUUUACAACUCUGUUUCAAAUUUCAAUACAAGGAAAAGAACAAAAGGAAAAAACAACAGAUUUGAAUGAAAUUUUGCGUAAAAUCUUUCAGGGGCAUGUUCCCUGGGAGGAAAACCAAGCGAGAACGAAUCUGAAAAACUGCAAAUACCAAGGGCCCGGCCUGUAGUAGCCAUAGACUCUGUGUCAAAGAAAGCACAAGGAAAACGAAAGCAGCAAUGACAGAAAUGAUUACUGUGUCAAAGCGAAGUAAUUGUGCUUGAAACUGGCUCUCCAGGCAUUCGCUCCAUGCCAGUGCUCGAUAGUGGAGGUACCCGACGUUCUCGGGGCAUUCGCUCCAUGCCAGUGCUCGAUAGUGGAGGUACCCGACGUCCUCGGGGUAUCUGAUUAAGUUGUCCAUAAAGAUUACGUACCAGGUAAUGUUGUUGCUGCAAUCAAAGUGGGACUGCUCGAAGGCUAUCAAGUUGAGGAAGAGCGAACUCAUCCCAUCGUCGAUCAGAAGCUGUGGGAUCUCAAGGAUCCCGUCCUUGAACUGGAUGUCCCAGAACUUGUCCAUCUUCCUCUUUCUAAACUUGAUCCCAGCUUCUCGGAGCUCCCUCACACAGCGGAUGCGUUGCUGCUGCCUCUUCUCAGCAACUCGGUCGGAGUGCGACCGUUGCUUGAUCCAUGCCCUUGGCUCUAGCUUCGGGCCUAAGAGGAGAAGGCUCUGUUGGAGCACUUCGAGGCAAUGGAGCUCGCCCUGGUCGGAUAACGGGUCGAAGGCGGUGGUGUGGCUGAGAGACUCCAGCCUGUUGCGGCUAAGCUCGGUCAAAGGCUCGUCUGUUGGCAUCAGAGGGUCAAAGAACCGGAGCGCCAGCUUGGCCACUAGCCCAUCCUGGUUGGGAUCGCCGAGCUGGAGGCUGAGCAGCUGGUCGAGUAUGAAAAGCGGGAUCUGAAUCUUGAGCAUGAUCAUGUCCUGUUGGAUCAUGUGCAUCGAUCCCCGCAUCGAAAAGAUGGGGUCAUCGCGAGGGUAGCCGAGUUCCUCGAACCCCUCAGCGACUCCCCGGAAGAGCUUGGUCACAAAGCACCCAUCAAGAACCAUCAUCUCCACGAACUUGUUGCUGCUCAUGGAUAUCGUCCCCUUGAGCACGCACGAGCUUUCUCCUCAAUUUCCCUCACAGCAUCUAGAUAGAGGCCUAUCUCACGACUGGUGUGCCUGAGGAUGCGGUGGAGGCAGAGCCACUCGUGCCAGUCCAUCUGGCGGAGGUGCUUCUUACCGUGGUGGUAUAGCUCAAGGGAGACAAUCUGGGGGAUGUAGGUCUUGUCCUCACCAUCCUUGAGAAAUUGCGGGAUUCGAUAAAUGGAGAGCCUUGUCCAUGAGCAGGCCUCAUCUUCUUGGCAAGCUUGCUCAAGCUUCUCUCUGAUAGAGAUGACCCAUUCGGACUCAGCCGGCCUUGGCUCAUCUUCUGACAUGUUUUCACCCCCUUUGUUCUCGACCAUGACCUGGAGAACCUCGGAUAGUCCUUGCUAUAGCUUAAGAACCUUGUGUUCCUGAGGCUGUUGCUGCUACUGGUGGCGAUCUAUUAUUUCCGUGGAUGCACUGGAGGUUGAUUCUUGGACAGUCCGGAUUCCAUAGUUUCUCUGAGCUUGAGGGUGAUCAAGUACCAGCUCAAGAGCUCUUUGUUGAAAACAGCAACCAUUUCUUCUGCCUAACGUUUCUCUGCCUUUGCCUAUUCAUCCAAAAAUAUUUUUAAUUAAAAUUAAAUUAAAUUAAAAAUAAAAACGGUAAAUGUUUUUUUUAAUAAAAUUGAAAAAAUAGGCCAGAGGCUCCCUCUAGCCUAUGAUCAUCACCCUCUCACCGGUGAGGCGACGGCAAUGGCUGGCGCUUGGGCAAGGGUCAGCGACCCUUGCCAAAAAUAGGAGAGGGCAACAACCCUCUCCCAAAUUUGAGUGAGGGUCGCUUGCCCUUCCCCCAAUCUAGGGGCCCUCGAUAAGGGGGGCACUAGAUCACGUGAGGGUUGGUGACCCUCGCCUAAGCCAAGGAGCCCAAAUUAGAGAGAAGGUUGCUGCCCUCUCUUGUUCCUGGCAAGGGCCUAUUGGCCCUCACCUCUGGUCGGCAAGGAUUGUUGGCCCUUGUCUAGUCCUUGACGACCCUACCAGCCAUUAUUGUCACCCCAUUGACCCUUGCCCCGAUCUGGGGGAGGGUUGAUGGCCCUUGGACUUAUGGAUGAGGGUGGGGCGAGGGUCGGCGAGCGUUGCCCAGAUUUAGGAGAGGUUCAUGGCCCUCUCCCAUUUCUGGUGAGGGCCUAUUGGCCCUUGCCUCUGGUCGGUGAGGGUCAUUGGCUCUUACCCAAGCACCAGUGACCUCGCUCCCCCAUCAGCGAUAGGUGGCGGUCAUAGGCAAAAGGGAGCCCUUCCUCCUUUGUGUUUCUUUAUUUUAUUUUAUUUUAUUUUAUUAGUUUUAGUUUUAGUUUUUUUAGUUUGUUUUUAUGGAAAGAAGAAGAAAGAAAAAAAGGAACAAAUUAAAAAAAUUUAGAAGACGAAAUUGCACUUCACCAAUUAAUGAGUUUAGGUACUUCUUUGAGAUUAAUAUAGUCACUUUAGACUCUUAUUUGAAAUAAAAUUCACUUUAGGCCCUUAUUUGAGAGAAUAAUGAUAUUUCAAGUUCUUUUUUAGAAAUAAUAUUUACUUUAGGCUCUUAUUUGAGUUAAUGAAGACAUUUCAUGCUCUUAUUUAAAAUUUUCCUUUUUUCAUGUUUAGGCUUGUAAUUAUUACUCAUCUAGAAAACCAACAUCAACCACGACUUUUGAAGACCUAACUCCUCAAGCUAUGUUUGUAGUUAGGAUAAAAUUCAUGAUAGAAUAAAUUUUAUCAUAACUUGCAUUUGGUUCUUGUCUAAGAUAGGAUAAAGUCAGAUUUAAAAAGGGAUAUAGUUUGAAUAAUAUUAUCUUAUAGGGGAGAUGGGAUAAUGUAGAUAAUAUUUCUAAUAUUCGAAAUAUAAAAGUUAUUUUGAUCAAAUAACAAACUUCUUAAAUUAAUAAAAUUAAAAUAAUAUUUGAGUAUACAUAAUAUUUGAAUUCUAAUAUAAAAAUUCAAAAUAACUAUAAUUUUUUUUUAUUUGUUCCUAUUUUCAUUUAUGUAUUUGAAUUUCUUUUUAUCUUAUAGUAUAAAUUUAUACAUAUUUCCUAUUUAUAUUUAUUACAUAAUUUACUUAUUUUAGGUAUAUUAGUAUAGUUUAAUAUAUAAUAAAAUUUUAUUAGAGAACUAUGAAAGGGGAAAAGAAUUAAAAAAGAGGGAAAAUAAUUAAAAAUAGAAAAUAAAAAUAAAAAUAAAGUAGGCAGGGGUGUCGUGAAAGAUUUUUAUCAUUUCUAUUUGCGCAAUUUUCAGGUUCAUUUACACUGAUAUAUCAUUCAUAUAAAAAAAUGGACAGGAUGGAUAUGAAAAUUUUCCACUUUAUUAUCGUGAUUUAUCAAAUAACAGUUAAGAUAUAACAAGAUUCUUGAAUUUUAUGUCAUAUCCUAUCUAUAUAGAAAUCUAGAUGAUCAAAUGCAUCCUCAAAGUUUUAUUUUAAUCUUUAAGGAAAAAAGUAACAAAAAAGCCAUAAACUUAUCGCAAUUGUGUCGAUUCAAUCAUAAACCUUCAAUUAUGCUAAUUGAGUGGUGCUAAUUGACUGCUUCUAAUCAAUUCUGGCCAAAAAUUGCAUGAUGUGGAUGCUGACUAUUCUAAGUAGUACUAUCAUUAUUGAUAUCGAUUUUUUUUUAUAAUUUUUUUGAAUUUUUAUUUAAUUUUUCUCUUUUUUUUUUCUUUCUUUCUUGGGCCCUCACCAAUCACGGGGUGAGGGCGCAAAGGCACUCGCCGGAUCUGGGCACAAAACUUAUUCCCAUAUAGGACAAGGCUACUUAUAAAGCCCGACCCGAGUAUUCCGUACACAAAGCUAUUCCUAUAUUGGGCAAGCCUUGGCAAAAAAUUGGGCCCGAUCUCUAUGGGCCCGGCCCGAGCCCAUCAAUUGAUCAUUCCGGUCACGACCGACUCCCGCCGCCCCACCGCCGCCGCCGCGUCGCGGUGGGCGUUCGCCGUCCCGAAGCGGAUUCCAGCACCUCCCGGACAAAUCGGUGCCGUCGUCUCGACGCUGGCGGUGGCGUGCGCGUAGCUCGUCCGGGGCUACUUCGUGAGGGGCAUCUACAUGCUGAACCGGCUCAUCGGCUUCCUCUACCCUCAGGUCGAUCCGGAGCUCCAGGAGCUCGCCGACGGCGGCGGCCCAUCCCUCCCCACCCGCGGCUCCGACAAGUUCAGGCCCUUCGUCCGCCGCCUCCCCGAGUUCAAGUGUUGGUAGGUUUACUGGUUGGGAUCGCUUCGCAUUAUUAUUAUUUUCGAUUGGGAAUUGCGAUCGGGUAUCAAUUGGAUUUGGUGGACUUGAUCUGCGUCAUUUCGGGGGCGAAAGGUGGAAAUGCGUGUUCCAAAUAUUCUGAAUUCGAGGUAUUUUUGGGGUGGAAAGACUCGUUGUAGUUGAUGAUUUGUGAUGCUUUUCAAUUGAAGACUGAUCCUAGUGUUUCUCAGGGGGAGUUCAUUUUGGGGGCAGUUUGGUGUUGGUUAUUACCUUUUGCUCUUGAUUGGAUUUGUUGGAAUUGAUCUACUUCAUUUCGGAGGAGAAAGAUGGAAUUCUGUGUUCUGACUUCAAGUGGGAGGAUUCGAUUGGCGUGAUGAUUUUUGCCUUCAAUUUGGAUUUCUUGGCAGAAAUGGAUAGUUUUAAAUUUAUGAGAGAUUGGUGAAAUUGGUGUUUAUUAAGUGUUUUUUGCUGGGUUGGGGAGAAAAAGAGGCGCUGGAGGUGUCAUGACUGGAUUCAAGAUCUGGCAACUGAAGAAGUUGAAUGAUGUGGAAGCAUCAUGGUUUCGCGCUUUCAUUUUGUUAUCACAGAGCGGUCGCUUGUUCUUGACUUGAGACUGGUUUUAAAAAUGCUUGCCAUGAUGUAAAAAUGCCUUUUUGAUGUGAUCUUACUGUUCCAGCAUUCUUGAUCUGCUUUGUCUACAUUCUUUCUUUCCAAUUACAUGCAGAUGUUUGAGUUUAUUCAUGAGGUGUUAUUGAAAUUGACAAUCUAAAGUUGACUCCAGCAGUGAAUUGAGAAGCUCAGAUUCCCCCUGUGAUGAUAUGUUUGUUUUAUGUCCUUUCAGAUGUAUAGCCUUCCUUUUAACAAUCUUUGAUUGGCAAUAUUCUUGUCAUUUAAUUGAUUUUAAAUCAAACGAUGUUCCGCACUGAAUCGAGAAUGUCAUACAAUAAUUGUUCAACUCAUCAGUCUCUAUAGAGGGUCUUAUUAGUUUAUGCUUUUGAACAUUCGGAUUUUGAUCUGCUGAUUGCAUUGGUUCCAUUGAGAGAGCUUAUGGUUUUAUACAUUCACUUCCUGCUUAGAUUGGAUGGUUGCUUAUUGAACAUAUUCUUCUUGUCUCUCAAUGGAAGGUUACAAAUCACUUGGGCAUUUGUGAUUGCUUUCGUGAUGACGUUCUUCAGAGUGUUCGACAUACCUGUCUUCUGGCCCAUACUCCUUUUCUACUGGGUCAUGUUUACGCUUACAAUGAGGAGGCAGAUAAUGCUUAUGGUCAAAUACAAAUAUGUCCCAUUUGCUAGGUAUCCUAUACCUUAUGUUCUCUCUUUUUCCUGCAUGUAUGCUUCUGCAAUUCUUUGGUAUGUUGCUUAUUUUGCCUUUUGACUCUACUUCUUUUUCAUCAGCACUACGAUGGAAAGAGAGCAUCUUCAACUGAUAGUGCGAGCCUUCCAAGGGAUUAAAUAUUUCGAGUUUGAUCUAUCUAUAGUUCUCAAGUAGGCUUCUCUUGUCCCUGGUGUCAUGGCAGCAGAUGGAGCUUUCGCACAGCGAAAGAUUGGCUCAAAGAUUAUUGUCAUGUUGCCUGAUACUCUACUCUUCUGAAAGAGAUCUUAUAGAUAAGCCUAGAGAAACCAUCAUGGAAACUUCUCAAGAGGAGUGAAUUUAAUGUAAAUUUUCUGUCUUAGCUUUAGUAAGGGGUAGUCCCAAUUUGUUCCUUAGACAUGGCAUUUUUUGU